CCACUGCUCAAUGGAUAAAGCACAAAGCUCUUAACCUUGUGGAUGUGGGUUCAAGCCCCAUGGUGGG
This 67-nucleotide transfer RNA is filed under the name Triticum aestivum (bread wheat). It matches the Rfam family "tRNA". Rfam says of the family: Transfer RNA (tRNA) molecules are approximately 80 nucleotides in length. RNAcentral also lists the same sequence under 1 other name. The record is from Rfam by way of RNAcentral. Lineage: Eukaryota; Viridiplantae; Streptophyta; Magnoliopsida; Poales; Poaceae.